This 279-nucleotide ribosomal RNA is filed under the name uncultured bacterium. Its description in RNAcentral is "partial 16S ribosomal RNA". It matches the Rfam family "Bacterial small subunit ribosomal RNA", at positions 506 to 784 of the family's 1533-position model. The record is from RNAcentral.
UGCCAGCAGCCGCGGUAAUACAGAGGUGGCAAGCGUUGUUCGGUAUCACUGGGCUUAAAGGGCGCGUAGGCGGCAUGGCACGGUUCGGGUGAAAUCCCUCGGCUCAACCGAGGAACUGCCUGGGCAACGACCAUGCUGGACAGCAUCAGGGGAAAGUGGAACUCCCGGUGGAGCGGUGAAAUGCGUAGAUAUCGGGAGGAACGCCGGUGGCGAAAGCGACUUUCUGGGGUGCUUGUGACGCUGAGGCGCGAAAGCUAGGGGAGCGAACGGGAUUAGAUA